AAGUCGAGCGAACAGACGAGGAGCUUGCUCCUCUGACGUUAGCGGCGGACGGGUGAGUAACACGUGGAUAACCUACCUAUAAGACUGGGAUAACUUCGGGAAACCGGAGCUAAUACCGGAUAAUAUAUUGAACCGCAUGGUUCAAUAGUGAAAGACGGUUUUGCUGUCACUUAUAGAUGGAUCCGCGCCGCAUUAGCUAGUUGGUAAGGUAACGGCUUACCAAGGCAACGAUGCGUAGCCGACCUGAGAGGGUGAUCGGCCACACUGGAACUGAGACACGGUCCAGACUCCUACGGGAGGCAGCAGUAGGGAAUCUUCCGCAAUGGGCGAAAGCCUGACGGAGCAACGCCGCGUGAGUGAUGAAGGUCUUCGGAUCGUAAAACUCUGUUAUUAGGGAAGAACAAAUGUGUAAGUAACUAUGCACGUCUUGACGGUACCUAAUCAGAAAGCCACGGCUAACUACGUGCCAGCAGCCGCGGUAAUACGUAGGUGGCAAGCGUUAUCCGGAAUUAUUGGGCGUAAAGCGCGCGUAGGCGGUUUUUUAAGUCUGAUGUGAAAGCCCACGGCUCAACCGUGGAGGGUCAUUGGAAACUGGAAAACUUGAGUGCAGAAGAGGAAAGUGGAAUUCCAUGUGUAGCGGUGAAAUGCGCAGAGAUAUGGAGGAACACCAGUGGCGAAGGCGACUUUCUGGUCUGUAACUGGCGCUGAUGUGCGAAAGCGUGGGGAUCAAACAGGAUUAGA
Molecule: ribosomal RNA, 741 nt
Filed under: uncultured Staphylococcus sp.
Lineage: Bacteria; Bacillati; Bacillota; Bacilli; Caryophanales; Staphylococcaceae
Description: bacterial SSU rRNA
Rfam family: Bacterial small subunit ribosomal RNA
Source: RNAcentral